GUCAGCCCACUCUGGAAGACCCCCAUUAACGUCAGACUGUAGAGACAAUUUGUGAAAGAAGGCUGAAGUGGUUUGGGCAUAUCUGAGAAAACUGUGUUCCUACACAAGCCCUUGAUUGGCUAGCUCCUGGUGAAAGACAGAAGAGAGGAGGACAGCAGAUGACUUAUAAGAAAACCACUGAGAAAGAUGCCGCUGUCAUGGAAACAGUCUACAACAGAGCAGAAACAUGCCGUUAGACAGAUGGAGGUGGAAUGACUGGGUUUCCUCGUGUCACAAGCCCCUGCACAGCUGCUAGACGCAAAGUUAUCACAAUGGAAAUGGAGCUAAAACCGAACUACUAACGCCCUGGGGAAUCAAAGUGGUGGAACAAGAAGCCAUUGAGCGUAUCAUUUCUAGGGAGGAUACUCUCUAAUGAUUGGAUUCCAACUCCCCUAGCAGGAUACCGUGCGCGUCAGCAUGCUGAGAUUUAGAACAGCAAAUGCUUCCCAGCAUCUACAUUCCUCACCAGCUUAAUGCAGGCGCUCAAUGACACCAGUCAGCAUUUCUGUACAGGAAAUGAGGGGGUAUUAACGAGUGAAGGCUUCUUCAUUGUCCAGAUUGUUGGUUUUGUUGCUACUUGUGCUGGCAGCCCACUGAGAUGGAAAUUCCAUCUCCUGGCCAUUGCAGUGGAAUAACAGGGGCACCCUUCAAAAUGCUGCCUUUUUUGUUCAGUUUUGCAAUUACAUUUCAGGGCUCGUCAUUCUCAUUGGCUCAGAGAAGCCCUGCGUCCACUCAGGAAAUAUGGCUAUGCAGCACUGGCUAAUAGAUCAGCCCUGCCCCGGGAAGUCAGCAUUCGGCUACAGCCUGCUAAGCAUGGAAGGCAGUUUCCAAGUGGAGCACUGUGAUGGAUUCGACCCAUGCCCCUCUUCUGCCACCCUGCACAGGAAAAAAACAAAGAGCAUUGUUAUCUGAAACGUACAUUAUCCCUGUUCUGAGAAAGAGACCGUGAAACUGUUAAUGUGGCUAAACUCAUUCCAGAAGUGGCCCUCACCCCUCCAUUUUUACAGGAUACUUUUCCUUUGCCCUGGUUAAUCUGCUAGUUAGUCAGUGUGAGUAAUAAGAGACUUAGCAGAAUAAACUAAGGGUGUGUUGGUUUUGUAGCAUAACCCCAGGUGUUUCGCUGUGAGCCCUUCCACUCUUUAUUCUGAGUUGCUGAGUACACACACCCUUCUCUGCCCACUGAACUCUCGAGCGGAAGGACAGCUUUCCUUGCUGAGGCUUCUCCCCUAGCCCCAAAGAUCCAUGUGCAUCCUGUGACCCUACAGUCCUUGCUAGCAAGGGGCCCCUCGUCCUCCUACAGAGUGCGACACCACAGCUCCCUGAGUCACCAGGCCUGGUCCUGCACCUUAACAUUCAGUAGGAGUUUUGCCGUUGGCAUCAGUCAUAGCCCUGAAUACAGAGGGGAGUGCAAUUCCUGAGGUCAUUCCCAAACCUUGGUAUCCUCUACAACAGCCCUAGGGCAGUUGGAUGGCGGGUGGGCUGGUCUUGUGGCCCAUUUUCCUUCACUUGUUCGCUCACAUCUCCAGGCAGAGUUCCUCUAGGUGGUGGCCACUAGCUCUUGGACUCCUUCAUGGAGCAGCGGGCGUGUCCGCCUCCAGAAUCCUGAUUUAAAGACACCCCCGUCCUGUCUCUGUAUCAUCAGAACAGAUCAGCUAAAGUUUAAAAUGCCUACCACAGUCCAAGCUCCCAAUGAGCUCCUUUUGGGUAAUUUGGAAUGGUCACUAUCAGACUUUGCAGGCUUUUAUUUUGCUCCCUGUAUAAAAACCUUUACUGGACAAGCUCCUCCAGGCCUAUCGCAGCUUGGCAGUAAGGAGUUAUUUUUUUCUGGAAAGUGAUUUGAGCAAUCCCCAAAUACCAAGAGACCAGACCUGAGCUGAAGGUGUGAAAGCUGGUUGGGCUGGCAAGUUCAGGUCCAGGGCCUGGCUUCUUUAUAGCAGUCUGGCUCACCAAUCAGAGAGAGAGAGAAAAUGGAGUCUUUGUUAGAAUUUUCAGUCACUUUGGGAUGGGGGUUUAAAGAAUGAUAAGUUUGCCCUUCUAUAAGAACCUUUCACUGAAGUGAAAGUGCUUUAAAUACAUGAAAGAUUGAAACCACACAACAUCCUUAUAAGAGUUAAGCAUUAUAUCCAUGGUAAACUGAGUCACAGAGAGUUGGUGUAACUUGCUUAAGAUGACAGAGCCAGGGCUAGAACCCAGGAGUCCUGUCUUCCACCCACCUACUGUGAUCACUAUAGUAAUUCUUUCCCUGUCUUCCUUGUCCUCAGGAUGUGGUGGGGGGUUCCCCCCUCAAUGAAUCUUCCUCUCCAGUAAAACUUGCCUGUGAAUUCCCAGUAUUUAUGUAUCAAAGCCAAAUGCAAGUUUCUGCUGCAAGAAGAGAAUGAUAAAUCAAAAUCCUGCCACACUCUCGCAAUCAGCAGAAUGGGGUUUCAGCUAUUUCCCUCUAAACCAUUAGUGCAAAUGGUGUGCUCAUAAAAUUAGGUAGCGCUUGAUGUUUCUGAGUACUAAUGACCUGGAAUUAACAGAAAUAACCACGGAAUAAACUGGUAAUUAAUGUCCUCUUUAUUUUCCUGCUAACAAGAUGAAAACAUAUUGAGAAAGGAUCGUCAUUUCUCAGCCCCAAAUAUGACACUGUUAGCACCAUUGUAAUGUUCCUCUAAUUACCCAGAACUCAGCCAGACUGAUUGGCUCAGAAUGAAACAGCAUUCCUCCAUUUCUGCAGCUUCCUAGCUGGAAAGGAGUGGGACCAUUUGGCAAGUUACUGGAUUGAGUCUGAAUUUGAGGGAAUAUGAAGUAGAAACAUUAGAGUUAUUCUACCAGGAAAAAGCGGAGGUCCCUCUAAUGCAGAUGCAGUAGCUUGUCUCUGGAAUUCCAAAAUUCCCAAUAAUGAACUGGGUCAGUUGUGCCAUACAAUAUUUAACACUAUUAUUUGGGCCCAGAUGACCCAGCCAUGACUGAGGCCCCAUUGUGCUGGAGGUGCUGCUCAGAGGGCUAUUCAAGACAGUCCCGGUCCUGAAAGAUUUUACAAUUGACUAUUAAGGACUGGGAUGGCAGGAGACUGAACAUUAGAAUUUCUUCCUGACUGUGGUAGGAAAACACUAAGGCCUGGCUUGUGACUGUCACUUGUAGAGCUGCAGAUGUUAACAGUUAUUAAAUCAUUCUUACACUGCUGAUAUCAGUAGUGCCUACAGAUCUCAGGACAUGCAACUGUAUAAACAACUUGGACAGAGCAGAAGAAGAGCUGUGCGUAGCUCAAAAGCUUGUCUCUUUCCCCAACAGAAGUUGGUCCAAUAAAAGAUAU
This is a long non-coding RNA of Mauremys mutica (yellowpond turtle), 3334 nucleotides long. RefSeq lists it as uncharacterized. The transcript is spliced from 3 exons. The record is from RefSeq and is a predicted model, not a curated record. Lineage: Eukaryota; Metazoa; Chordata; Testudines; Geoemydidae.